GACGUCGUGGCCGAGUGGUUAAGGCGACAGACCAGAAUUGUUGACAAUCUGUUCCACUAUGUGGGCGUAGGUUCAAGUCCUACCGACGUCG
This is a non-coding RNA of Mycena metata, 91 nucleotides long. Lineage: Eukaryota; Fungi; Basidiomycota; Agaricomycetes; Agaricales; Mycenaceae. The record is from the annotation of a GenBank genome assembly.